AAUUCGCCCUUAGAGUUUGAUCCUGGCUCAGGACGAACGCUGGCGGCGUGCCUAAUACAUGCAAGUCGAGCGGAAUGAAGAAGAAGCUUGCUUCUUCUGAUUUUAGCGGCGGACGGGUGAGUAACACGUGGGCAACCUACCUUGUAGAUUGGGAUAACUCCGGGAAACCGGGGCUAAUACCGAAUAAUCCAUUUUGCUUCAUGGCGAAAUGUUAAAAGGCGGCUUCGGCUGUCACUGCAAGAUGGGCCCGCGGCGCAUUAGCUAGUUGGUAAGGUAACGGCUUACCAAGGCGACGAUGCGUAGCCGACCUGAGAGGGUGAUCGGCCACACUGGGACUGAGACACGGCCCAGACUCCUACGGGAGGCAGCAGUAGGGAAUCUUCCACAAUGGACGAAAGUCUGAUGGAGCAACGCCGCGUGAGUGAAGAAGGUUUUCGGAUCGUAAAACUCUGUUGUAAGGGAAGAACACGUACGAGAGUAACUGCUCGUACCUUGACGGUACCUUAUUAGAAAGCCCACGGCUAACUACGUGCCAGCAGCCGCGGUAAUACGUAGGUGGCAAGCGUUGUCCGGAAUUAUUGGGCGUAAAGCGCGCGCAGGCGGUCCUUUAAGUCUGAUGUGAAAGCCCACGGCUCAACCGUGGAGGGUCAUUGGAAACUGGGGGACUUGAGUACAGAAGAGGAAAGCGGAAUUCCAAGUGUAGCGGUGAAAUGCGUAGAGAUUUGGAGGAACACCAGUGGCGAAGGCGGCUUUCUGGUCUGUAACUGACGCUGAGGCGCGAAAGCGUGGGGAGCAAACAG
Molecule: ribosomal RNA, 800 nt
Filed under: uncultured bacterium
Lineage: Bacteria
Description: bacterial SSU rRNA
Rfam family: Bacterial small subunit ribosomal RNA
Source: RNAcentral